GCAGCCUGUUGGAUUUAACAAGGCCACAGUGUCUGUUCCUCCUCCUCCUUUUAGACAGAGAGUCAAUUUUGACCAACAGAGAGUCAAUUUUGACCAAGCGAGGGGACCUUUAUUUUGUAGGUACUGUAAAAAAUCUGGACACUUAAUUGAUAAGUGCUUCAAGAUCCAUUGGUAUCCGCAAAGUACCACCUUUAACAAGGGAAGGAGGCCUGCUGCUGCUCAUCUGAGUACUGGUCUGGAUUCUCCUAUUUCU
RNAcentral lists this long non-coding RNA (253 nucleotides) under Nicotiana benthamiana. RNAcentral's name for it is "long non-coding RNA (NBEN_LNC039115)". The record is from RNAcentral. Lineage: Eukaryota; Viridiplantae; Streptophyta; Magnoliopsida; Solanales; Solanaceae.